RNAcentral lists this ribosomal RNA (228 nucleotides) under uncultured bacterium. Its description in RNAcentral is "partial 16S ribosomal RNA". It matches the Rfam family "Bacterial small subunit ribosomal RNA", at positions 122 to 334 of the family's 1533-position model. The record is from RNAcentral.
UAACCUGCCCUUUGGAGGGGGAUAACGUUCCGAAAGGAGCGCUAAUACCGCAUACAGCAAGAGUCGGUUCGCCGAUUUUUGGCAAAGGUAGGGACCCGCAAGGGCCUACCGCCAGAGGAGGGGUCUGCGGCCCAUCAGCUAGUUGGUGAGGUAAUGGCUCACCAAGGCAGAGACGGGUAGCUGGUCUGAGAGGAUGAUCAGCCACACUGGUACUGGAACACGGACCAG